Archocentrus centrarchus (flier cichlid) is the source of this 802-nucleotide long non-coding RNA. RefSeq lists it as uncharacterized. NCBI's taxonomy places the organism in Eukaryota, Metazoa, Chordata, Actinopteri, Cichliformes, Cichlidae. The record is from RefSeq and is a predicted model, not a curated record. The transcript has 4 exons.
UUUCAUUUCUCAGUCAUUUUCUUGAUGUUUUUGAAUCUUUGUGUGUUUCUUGUUCACAGCUCCAAACAUUUAUAAGUCCAGCUUUACUCUCUGAUCUGUUUCAGCAGCCACAACUACAACUACAGCACAGAGUUUCAGCUCCAGCUCAGGAAGCUCCACACCUUCAUUCACUUUGACUGGAGCCACUGAGGAAUCUGAAAGAGCAGCAUCUACAGAUGUGCUGCUGUAUGUGGGUCUGAUUCUGGCUGCCUCCAUCAUCCUGUUAUCAGUGGCUCUGCUGAUAUUCUGCAAGAAAAGAUCUUCUAAAGCAAACGACGGUCCUGUGGAAACAGCGCAUGCUGCUGUCACAGAGGAGGAGGCCGACUCGAGCAAACUCACCUACUCUGAGGUCAGGUUUUUCAAGACGAGCGUCGGCUCUCCCGACAGCGCCUCCCGCAGUAACACCAAUGAAGUCAUCUACUCUGCUCCUCGGGCCCGUGUGAGCUCCGACUCCACAGAUGAUCCGCUGUACUCCACUGUAGCUUAGCUUCAAUGCUGCUGCUGCCACAGUUCUCUGUAAAGGGACCAAAGGAAGCUGCAUUAACCUCGGGCACAGGUACAGUCACUGAUCCCUGCAGAGAUCCUGCAGCAUUAAAGUACAUGGACUCGUUCUUAUACAGCACGUUUCUACUCGAGCCCUCAAAGUGCUUCUUGCAUUCACACGAGCCUCUUUGAUACAGCUAAGUGCUUUCUGUAAUGGAGAAUACCUCAAUGAACUUUCACUCAGCACAUGCAGAAUCAUUGUUCACCUGUACAGGUUAAC